Chenopodium quinoa (quinoa) is the source of this 2341-nucleotide long non-coding RNA. RefSeq lists it as uncharacterized. Lineage: Eukaryota; Viridiplantae; Streptophyta; Magnoliopsida; Caryophyllales; Amaranthaceae. The record is from RefSeq and is a predicted model, not a curated record. The transcript has 5 exons.
UCUCAUUCUUAUAAUUAGGGUUUUAUUAUCUCUCCUCUAGUCCUUAGCCGUUAUCCUGCCCUCUUUCCUCUCUCCUCUCUCAUUUCACGCAUUCACUCAAUCUUUCUCUUCUCCUCAAGUCCUAACUCAAUCUCCUCCAUUUUUAUAUUUAUAUGAACAACGGAACAAGCUCAGGAUUCUGAACAUCAAAAUCCGGCGAUCAUUCGUCGAAUCUCUACAAAGUAGUGGAAUUUGGGGGCAUUUUCAAAUUUUUCCAGAAAUUCAACUCAAUUUUCUCACUCGCUAGAUGGGGUCCACUUCUUGAGCAAGCCACUUACAAGAAUCGGCAACGUCUUUAUCUCUCUGAACAGGCAAUAUCAUCCUAAUGAUUUAUCUUUUCAUUUAAUUUUGUUGUUAAGUUCUAUCAUCUUUUUACUAAAUGAUGAUCCUCCUUAUCUUUAUUUUCAGAGUGAUGGGAGUGUUCCUAAUACACUUGUUAUUGCAAACGUUGAAGUUGUUAAGCCUAGAGUUGCUGCUGCAGAGCAUAUAUCUCAAUUUAAUGAAGAGGCUUGCUCUCCGUUUGUAAAGAAGCUCAAAACCAUCAUACAUCCUGGGGAGGUUAUCGAUGUUCUUCACCUGGGUCGCACUAAUGUUUCCAAAGUUUGAUCUUCUUUUCUCGAUUGUUUAUCCCCUUUGAAUUUGAGAAAGUUGUCGAGUUUCCUGUCACUUACAAGAAGCAUCCGCAUUUAGGAUGGGAUGCUAAGAGGUUGAUUGGAAGGAGAUUUAGUGAUGCAUCAGUUCAGGCUGACAUGAAGUUGUGGCCAUUUAAGGUUACACCCGGAUCAAGGGAGAAGCCCAUGAUUUUUGUAAGCUACAAUGGCAAGGACAAGCAGUUCGCUGCUGAGGAAAUAUCCUCCAUGGUCCUUACCAAGAUGAAGGAGAUUUCCGAGGCUUACCUUGGUUCAACUGUGAAGAACGCUGUUGUUACUAUCCCUGCCUACUUCAAUGACUCUCAGCGUCAGGCAACCAAGGGAGGUAUGCUUACGGUCUUGACAAAAAUGCCACCAGUGUCGGUGAGAAUAAUGUGCUCAACUUUGAUCAUGGAGGUGGUACUUUUGAUGUGUCUCUUAUUUCAUAAUAUAUAAGCGGUACAAUAUUAUUGUCUAAUUUUAUAGUUCAUUUCUUACAUCGAUCUUUUGAUAAAUCUAUUUUGUUACUUAGUAGCUGAUGGUCUAUGUUCAUGCUGAGAAUGAGUUUAACGUUAAAAGUUUAUCUGCAAUGCAUCCGGAAUAGUUGUUGCUCCGUCUUCGCCAUCCUAAAUUUGGUAAUAUUCAGAAAUAUAGUUUAGUGCAAUCCUAUCUUGUGUUAUUGAAACAAGACUCUAUGAUCAUUACAUUUCAGAGCUGACUUUAUCUUAUUAUAAUCAUUAUUCCUUCUAGAAGCUGCUGUGAUUAUGUGUGAUUUCUUUUUUAUUUUACCAUUGUUGUUGUUGGUGAUAUACCAUGAUUGUUAAGUCUUUUUCACAGUAAGGCUUGUUAUUUUUUAUAUGCUCCAUGCUCCUCUUGCUAUUAUCUUGGAGAUUCUCUACUUCUUUAACUUUUGAAGUAUUUUUUCAACACAGUACAGUAAUUUUAUUGGUUUAUCAGUUGGGGUUUUGGGGUCACUUUGAUGGAAAUGUGGUAUUAUGUAUUUCAAGAUAAUAUGGGUUUGGGUAAAUAUUAUCUAACCUUUUUUUUUUAAUGUGAUAAUAUUAUCUAAUUCAAUUUUUGGAUAUUUUUUUGUGUAUCUUUUCUACUAUCAUUCUGAUUAUCAUAAUCUAAACAUGCUUGUAGCUCCCUUUUGGAAAAUCCAUGGCAUAAUUCAGCAUUUGAAUAUUCUGGCUUCAUCAAACUUUUUCUUUCUACUAAUUUAGAUGCACUAAGGGAUUUAACAUGCUUUACUAAUGACAGAAACGUUGAUGUAGAUGAGUAUGACAAGUACUCAUAUGCUAAACAAAAAGAAGGGGGCAGCUUUUCAAUGAACCUAAGUUACAACACUUGUUUUCUAGACAUUAUUCAGACACUAUCGAUCACCAAGGAUACAUACAGCAAGGACCUGGAGUCUGAGUGUGCUGCUUGGAAUACAGAAGAUCUGCAUGCUUUGGGCGAUGAAGUUUUUUGGUUUCUGUUGCUCUUGAUUGCUGCUGUUACUACUGGCAUGCUGCUGUUACUACUGGCCUGCUGUUGUUUAUGCUUAUAAUGUAUUUCAUUACUAAAUUUUAUAAUCAAUAGCGUUUUAGACUUCUCAAUAGUUUAGUUUAUAAUUAGCAUACAAAAUUGGAUUUGGUGUAUAUGUUAUGUUUGAUAAUGUUUGUGGCAUGAAA